This 490-nucleotide ribosomal RNA is filed under the name uncultured bacterium. Its description in RNAcentral is "partial 16S ribosomal RNA". It matches the Rfam family "Bacterial small subunit ribosomal RNA", at positions 28 to 507 of the family's 1533-position model. The record is from RNAcentral.
GAUGAACGCUAGCUACAGGCUUAACACAUGCCAGUCGCGGGGCAGCAUGGGGGUUGCUUGCAAUCCCCGAUGGCGACCGGCGCACGGGUGAGUAACGCGUAUCCAGCCUGCCCUUCACCACGGGAUAACCCGGCGAAAGUCGGACUAAUACCGUAUGUUGUCCAUUGACGGCAUCCGAUUUGGACGAAAGGUUUGGCGGUGAAGGAUGGGGAUGCGUCCGAUUAGCUGGACGGCGGGGUGACGGCCCACCGUGGCGACGAUCGGUAGGGGUUCUGAGAGGAAGGUCCCCCACACUGGAACUGAGACACGGUCCAGACUCCUACGGGAGGCAGCAGUGAGGAAUAUUGGUCAAUGGGCGUAAGCCUGAACCAGCCAAGUAGCGUGCAGGAUGACGGCCCUAUGGGCUGUAAACUGCUUUUAUGCGGGGAUAAAGUGGCCCACGUGUGGGUUUUUGCAGGUACCGCAUGAAUAAGGACCGGCUAAUUCCGUG